AUCCAUCUGACGAGUCUUAAAAAGGACGAAACGUGUGUCCCGGAU
RNAcentral lists this non-coding RNA (45 nucleotides) under Schistosoma haematobium. Lineage: Eukaryota; Metazoa; Platyhelminthes; Trematoda; Strigeidida; Schistosomatidae. The record is from RNAcentral.